RNAcentral lists this ribosomal RNA (524 nucleotides) under uncultured bacterium. RNAcentral describes it as "partial 16S ribosomal RNA". It matches the Rfam family "Bacterial small subunit ribosomal RNA", at positions 28 to 523 of the family's 1533-position model. The record is from RNAcentral.
GAUGAACGCUGGCGGCGUGCCUAAUACAUGCAAGUCGAGCGCAGGAAGCCGUCUGAACCCUUCGGGGGGACGACGGUGGAAUGAGCGGCGGACGGGUGAGUAACACGUAAAGAACCUGCCCACGGGUCUGGGAUAACCACGAGAAAUCGGGGCUAAUACCGGACGGGUCAUCGGACCGCAUGGUCCGAGGAUGAAAGGCGCUCCGGCGUCGCCCGUGGAUGGCUUUGCGGUGCAUUAGCUAGUUGGUGGGGUAACGGCCCACCAAGGCGACGAUGCAUAGCCGACCUGAGAGGGUGAUCGGCCACACUGGGACUGAGACACGGCCCAGACUCCUACGGGAGGCAGCAGUAGGGAAUCUUCCACAAUGGACGAAAGUCUGAUGGAGCAACGCCGUGUGAACGAUGAAGGCUUUCGGGUCGUAAAGUUCUGUUGUAAGGGAAGAACAAGUGCCGCAGGCAAUGGCGGCACCUUGACGGUACCUUGCGAGAAAGCCACGGCUAACUACGUGCCAGCAGCCGCAGUAA